CUUUAUAAAGAAAUUUAUAUUUGAUUAGAAUUCUAAGAUAUGGUUUUCUCAUCUUGAUAAUUGAGAUAGACAACGAAGCUCUUAAUACAUGUUAUAAUUAUCCAAUUACAAAAGCAUUCUUUAUUUUAUUUUUUAAAAGAAAUAAAAAUUCUGAAAAUUCAAAUAAAAUAAAAAAGAAAGAGAGUAGAUAACUUUUGAAAGAACAAUGUUAUUUAAUGUAAGAUUUUAAAAAUGACAUAAUACUGCAGCAAAAAAAUUAGCCUAGAAUCGAGAAAAAAUUUACAAUUAUUGUUCAUUAAAUACAUGUCAAUAUCAAAUAAAAACCACUUACAGGAUCUGAAUACUUAUAUGCAAUAAUGCAGGAAUCUAAAUUCUAGAAGUGAGUACACGGAAUAGUGAUAAGCAACAUCAAACUGUCUUCUUAAGAAGAAAAGGAAUACAGUGAGUGUCUGCAUACUUGCAUAUACCUGCCAGAUACGUUCUUCCUAGAAAGCAAUUUCUCAAAUUUUUCAUAGUGCACAACUCAAAUGUAUCGCCACUACUUCAGUCCACAAAAAUUUCAUCAAAUUGACAUGAAAUCUUUUCAAUUUCUAUUCCUCAAAAAACCCAAUUUUGCUUUGCUAAAAAAUAUAUGAAAUUGGACCACAAAAUUAAUUUUUUGAAGAAAAUUCAAUGAAUUUUCUGAGAUCGAAAAAAAAAUUGUGGAAAGAAGAUAUUUUGAAAAACCAAUGGAGAGUUUUGCUUUGUUUAUAAGGGGAAGAGAGGUUUUCUUCAAAUGGAUAUAUGAUACUUGUAUCGGUUGUAA
This 805-nucleotide long non-coding RNA is filed under the name Capsicum annuum. RNAcentral describes it as "long non-coding RNA (CANN_LNC018767)". Lineage: Eukaryota; Viridiplantae; Streptophyta; Magnoliopsida; Solanales; Solanaceae. The record is from RNAcentral.